GAUGAACGCUAGCGGGCAGGCUUAACACAUGGCAAGGUCGAAGGGGGCAACACGGGUAGCAAUACCUGGGUGGCGACCGGCGCAAGGGUGCGUAACGCGUGAGCAACAUGCCCUAUACAGGGGGAUAAUACCAGGGAAACUUGGUCUAAUAUCCCAUAGUAUUUAGAGGUGGCAUCACCACUAAAUUAAAGCUUCGGUGGUAUAGGAUUGGCUCGCGUGACAUUAGCUAGUUGGUGAGGUAAAGGCCCACCAAGGCGAUGAUGGGUAGCCGGCCUGAGAGGGUGUACGGCCACACUGGGACUGAGAUACGGCCCAGACUCCUACGGGAGGCAGCAGCUAAGAAUAUUCCGCAAUGGACGGAAGUCUGACGGAGCGACGCCGCGUGGAUGAAGAAGGCCGAAAGGUUGUAAAGUUCUUUUGCUAGGGGAGAAUAAGUGUGGGAGGGAAUGCCUGCACGAUGACAAGGACUAGCGAAUAAGUCCCGGCCAACUACGUG
This 496-nucleotide ribosomal RNA is filed under the name uncultured bacterium. RNAcentral's name for it is "bacterial SSU rRNA". It matches the Rfam family "Bacterial small subunit ribosomal RNA", at positions 28 to 507 of the family's 1533-position model. The record is from RNAcentral.